RNAcentral lists this ribosomal RNA (1466 nucleotides) under Streptococcus thermophilus. RNAcentral's name for it is "bacterial SSU rRNA". It matches the Rfam family "Bacterial small subunit ribosomal RNA". The record is from RNAcentral. Lineage: Bacteria; Bacillati; Bacillota; Bacilli; Lactobacillales; Streptococcaceae.
AACGCUGGCGGCGUGCCUAAUACAUGCAAGUAGAACGCUGAAGAGAGGAGCUUGCUCUUCUUGGAUGAGUUGCGAACGGGUGAGUAACGCGUAGGUAACCUGCCUUGUAGCGGGGGAUAACUAUUGGAAACGAUAGCUAAUACCGCAUAACAAUGGAUGACACAUGUCAUUUAUUUGAAAGGGGCAAUUGUUCCACUACAAGAUGGACCUGCGUUGUAUUAGCUAGUAGGUGAGGUAAUGGCUCACCUAGGCGACGAUACAUAGCCGACCUGAGAGGGUGAUCGGCCACACUGGGACUGAGACACGGCCCAGACUCCUACGGGAGGCAGCAGUAGGGAAUCUUCGGCAAUGGGGGCAACCCUGACCGAGCAACGCCGCGUGAGUGAAGAAGGUUUUCGGAUCGUAAAGCUCUGUUGUAAGUCAAGAACGGGUGUGAGAGUGGAAAGUUCACACUGUGACGGUAGCUUACCAGAAAGGGACGGCUAACUACGUGCCAGCAGCCGCGGUAAUACGUAGGUCCCGAGCGUUGUCCGGAUUUAUUGGGCGUAAAGCGAGCGCAGGCGGUUUGAUAAGUCUGAAGUUAAAGGCUGUGGCUCAACCAUAGUUCGCUUUGGAAACUGUCAAACUUGAGUGCAGAAGGGGAGAGUGGAAUUCCAUGUGUAGCGGUGAAAUGCGUAGAUAUAUGGAGGAACACCGGUGGCGAAAGCGGCUCUCUGGUCUGUAACUGACGCUGAGGCUCGAAAGCGUGGGGAGCGAACAGGAUUAGAUACCCUGGUAGUCCACGCCGUAAACGAUGAGUGCUAGGUGUUGGAUCCUUUCCGGGAUUCAGUGCCGCAGCUAACGCAUUAAGCACUCCGCCUGGGGAGUACGACCGCAAGGUUGAAACUCAAAGGAAUUGACGGGGGCCCGCACAAGCGGUGGAGCAUGUGGUUUAAUUCGAAGCAACGCGAAGAACCUUACCAGGUCUUGACAUCCCGAUGCUAUUUCUAGAGAUAGAAAGUUACUUCGGUACAUCGGUGACAGGUGGUGCAUGGUUGUCGUCAGCUCGUGUCGUGAGAUGUUGGGUUAAGUCCCGCAACGAGCGCAACCCCUAUUGUUAGUUGCCAUCAUUCAGUUGGGCACUCUAGCGAGACUGCCGGUAAUAAACCGGAGGAAGGUGGGGAUGACGUCAAAUCAUCAUGCCCCUUAUGACCUGGGCUACACACGUGCUACAAUGGUUGGUACAACGAGUUGCGAGUCGGUGACGGCGAGCUAAUCUCUUAAAGCCAAUCUCAGUUCGGAUUGUAGGCUGCAACUCGCCUACAUGAAGUCGGAAUCGCUAGUAAUCGCGGAUCAGCACGCCGCGGUGAAUACGUUCCCGGGCCUUGUACACACCGCCCGUCACACCACGAGAGUUUGUAACACCCGAAGUCGGUGAGGUAACCUUUUGGAGCCAGCCGCCUAAGGUGGGACAGAUGAUUGGGGGA